RNAcentral lists this ribosomal RNA (497 nucleotides) under uncultured bacterium. Its description in RNAcentral is "partial 16S ribosomal RNA". It matches the Rfam family "Bacterial small subunit ribosomal RNA", at positions 28 to 507 of the family's 1533-position model. The record is from RNAcentral.
GAUGAACGCUGGCGGCGUGCCUAAUACAUGCAAGUCGAGCGAACAGACGAGGAGCUUGCUCCUCUGACGUUAGCGGCGGACGGGUGAGUAACACGUGGAUAACCUACCUAUAAGACUGGGAUAACUUCGGGAAACCGGAGCUAAUACCGGAUAAUAUAUUGAACCGCAUGGUUCAAUAGUGAAAGACGGUUUUGCUGUCACUUAUAGAUGGAUCCGCGCCGCAUUAGCUAGUUGGUAAGGUAACGGCUUACCAAGGCAACGAUGAGUAGCCGACCUGAGAGGGUGAUCGGCCACACUGGAACUGAGACACGGUCCAGACUCCUAUGGGAGGCAGCAGUAGGGAAUCUUCCGCAAUGGGCGAAAGCCUGACGGAGCAACGCCGCGUGAGUGAUGAAGGUCUUCGGAUCGUAAAACUCUGUUAUUAGGGAAGAACAAAUGUGUAAGUAACUAUGCACGUCUUGACGGUACCUAAUCAGAAAGCAACGGCUAACUACGUG